This 253-nucleotide ribosomal RNA is filed under the name uncultured bacterium. RNAcentral describes it as "partial 16S ribosomal RNA". It matches the Rfam family "Bacterial small subunit ribosomal RNA", at positions 524 to 776 of the family's 1533-position model. The record is from RNAcentral.
UACGGAGGCCCCAAGCGUUGUUCGGAUUUAUUGGGCGUAAAGGGUGCGUAGGUGGCAUUGUAAGUCUGGUGUGAAAGGCGUGGGCUCAACCCGCGGACUGCAUUGGAUACUGCGAUGCUAGAGGACUGGAGAGGAGAAUGGAAUUCACGGUGGAGCAGUGAAAUGCGUAGACAUCGUGAGGAAGGCCAGUGGCGAAGGCGAUUCUCUGGACAGUACCUGACGCUGAGGCACGAAGGCGGGGGGAGCGAACAGG